CCUACGGGAGGCAGCAGUGGGGAAUAUUGCGCAAUGGGGGCAACCCUGACGCAGCCAUGCCGCGUGAAUGAAGAAGGCCUUCGGGUUGUAAAGUUCUUUCGGUAGCGAGGAAGGCAUUUAGUUUAAUAGACUAGGUGAUUGACGUUAACUACAGAAGAAGCACCGGCUAACUCCGUGCCAGCAGCCGCGGUAAUACGGAGGGUGCGAGCGUUAAUCGGAAUAACUGGGCGUAAAGGGCACGCAGGCGGUGACUUAAGUGAGGUGUGAAAGCCCCGGGCUUAACCUGGGAAUUGCAUUUCAUACUGGGUCGCUAGAGUACUUUAGGGAGGGGUAGAAUUCCACGUGUAGCGGUGAAAUGCGUAGAGAUGUGGAGGAAUACCGAAGGCGAAGGCAGCCCCUUGGGAAUGUACUGACGCUCAUGUGCGAAAGCGUGGGGAGC
This 439-nucleotide ribosomal RNA is filed under the name uncultured Haemophilus sp. RNAcentral describes it as "bacterial SSU rRNA". It matches the Rfam family "Bacterial small subunit ribosomal RNA", at positions 338 to 769 of the family's 1533-position model. Lineage: Bacteria; Pseudomonadati; Pseudomonadota; Gammaproteobacteria; Pasteurellales; Pasteurellaceae. The record is from RNAcentral.